Molecule: ribosomal RNA, 454 nt
Filed under: uncultured bacterium
Lineage: Bacteria
Description: bacterial SSU rRNA
Rfam family: Bacterial small subunit ribosomal RNA
Source: RNAcentral
GACGAACGCUGGCGGCGUGCCUAACACAUGCAAGUCGAACGAAGCUCUGCGAUACAAGACUUCGGUCAAGUUGAACGGAUGACUUAGUGGCGGACGGGUGAGUAACGCGUGAGGAACCUGCCUUUCAGUGGGGGACAACAGUUGGAAACGACUGCUAAUACCGCAUAAUGUAUUCUGACCGCAUGAUCGGAAUACCAAAGAUUUAUUGCUGAAAGAUGGCCUCGCGUCUGAUUAGAUAGUUGGUGAGGUAACGGCCCACCAAGUCAACGAUCAGUAGCCGGACUGAGAGGUUGAACGGCCACAUUGGGACUGAGAUACGGCCCAGACUCCUACGGGAGGCAGCAGUGGGGAAUAUUGGGCAAUGGGGGAAACCCUGACCCAGCAACGCCGCGUGAAGGAAGAAGGCUUUCGGGUUGUAAACUUCUUUUACCAGGGACGAAGGACGUGACGGUAC